RNAcentral lists this long non-coding RNA (266 nucleotides) under Brassica napus (rape). RNAcentral describes it as "long non-coding RNA (BNAP_LNC021234)". Lineage: Eukaryota; Viridiplantae; Streptophyta; Magnoliopsida; Brassicales; Brassicaceae. The record is from RNAcentral.
AAAGCUCGAGUGAGGAUGUGUAGUUAAGGUGUAGAGAGUCUUAGCAUAUAUUAUCUUAUUACGCUAAUGAUGGAUUAUAUUCCGCUGCUUAUCUUAUUUAUGUUUAUGUUCUUGUUGAGUCACUCGGGUUUCGACGGGGGAAGUCUCGAGUGAUGAUUAUUGUUGUUGUGUUAUUGUUAGGUGAACUCCUCGUCUUAGAUUGUUUGUGGUUGGGAUGGCGAGGGGUUGUAUUUGUUAGUUGGGGCCCUGGCUCACUGAGUGACAUU